UGCCCCACGGCCGGCUCCUCCCGAGGGGGCGGGUGCGGGUGCGGUGUCGGUGUCGUCUCCUUCCCACUCCAUUUUCCAUCCAAGCCUUUCAGACACAGCAGGGAAAAGCUGGGGGUCGGUCACCGCCGGCCUUGUGAGCCCCCCGGCCGGGGGCUGCUCCUCUCCUGCGUAGUGGCCCGACCGCCACGUCCAGCAGCACCCACCGCCGCCCCAUCCGCCGCCAGCGGUUUGCAGAGGAAACCCCGGCUGCCAGGCCAGUCCCCGUUAGGUUUGGGGAGGGCCGCUCCUGCCACACAGCACGGGGGUCUCCUAGCUGGGGUGCAGCUUCUGCAGAUCUUCAUGAAUUACACUCUGAAAACAACAGCUGAUUGCGAAUUACCACGGGAGGGCAUAUCAGCACUGUGCACGACACACAGCAUUGCUUUUACCUGAAACACCAAUAAGGUGGAUCAGAUUCUGCCCCCUGUGACAGGCAGAGAUAUUAAAGGAGGCUCAGAGGAGGUCCUGUGCUCACUUGAACAUUGUGGCAAGCUGCGGACACAAUUGCUGAGAAUUCUCUCUUACAAAGGAACUGGGAUGGCCCAACUGUAACCGCAUCUCAGCUGCCAUCGCUAAGCUCACAGUCAGCUUUGUGAUAGUUUUCUUCCCUUCCCCAGCUUCCCCCUGCUUUUUUGUUCACUGAAUGCCUUGUGCCUGCUUGAUUCUCAGUGCAGUAGAAACUUUCAAAUAUCUAGUGCUUAAGGUGCAAUAGAUGCUUAUUUGAUUACUAAGUGAGCUUCAUUUUCCCCUUAGUUUUCUAGCUUUUGCCAAUACAGCAUCAUGAACUUUAUAUUUCUUAAGA
Long non-coding RNA from Alligator sinensis (Chinese alligator), 841 nucleotides. RefSeq lists it as uncharacterized. NCBI's taxonomy places the organism in Eukaryota, Metazoa, Chordata, Crocodylia, Alligatoridae. The transcript has 3 exons. The record is from RefSeq and is a predicted model, not a curated record.